RNAcentral lists this transfer RNA (81 nucleotides) under Candidatus Riesia sp. RNAcentral's name for it is "tRNA-Leu". It matches the Rfam family "tRNA". From Rfam's summary of the family: Transfer RNA (tRNA) molecules are approximately 80 nucleotides in length. The record is from RNAcentral. Lineage: Bacteria; Pseudomonadati; Pseudomonadota; Gammaproteobacteria; Enterobacterales; Enterobacteriaceae.
GGCCUCGUGGUGGAAUGGCAGACACAUUAGACUUAAACUCUAAAGCCCUAGCGCGUGAGGGUUCGACUCCCUCCGAGGCCA